This 505-nucleotide ribosomal RNA is filed under the name uncultured bacterium. RNAcentral describes it as "partial 16S ribosomal RNA". It matches the Rfam family "Bacterial small subunit ribosomal RNA", at positions 28 to 507 of the family's 1533-position model. The record is from RNAcentral.
GACGAACGCUGGCGGCGUGCCUAAUACAUGCAAGUAGAACGCACAGUUUAUACCGUAGCUUGCUACACCAUAGACUGUGAGUUGCGAACGGGUGAGUAACGCGUAGGUAACCUGCCUGGUAGCGGGGGAUAACUAUUGGAAACGAUAGCUAAUACCGCAUAAUAUUAAUUAUUGCAUGAUAAUUAAUUGAAAGGUGCAAUUGCACCACUACCAGAUGGACCUGCGUUGUAUUAGCUAGUAGGUGAGGUAACGGCUCACCUAGGCGACGAUACAUCGCCGACCUGGGAGGGUGAUCGGCCACACUGGGACUGAGACACGGCCCAGACUCCUACGGGAGGCAGCAGUAGGGAAUCUUCGGCAAUGGACGAAAGUCUGACCGAGCAACGCCGCGUGAGUGAAGAAGGUUUUCGGAUCGUAAAGCUCUGUUGUAAGAGAAGAACGGGUGUGAGAGUGGAAAGUUCACACUGUGACGGUAUCUUACCAGAAAGGGACGGCUAACUACGUG